UAAAGUGUUGUUUGAAAUAUGAAGUAAUUACUAAGAACACUCCAAUAGGGUACAUUUCUGUUAAUUUUUUUUUUUUUUUUACUCCCAAGAAUCUAAAAGCAUUCAUACAAAUAACUUCUACAAACCGCAUUAAAAAAUAAUAAUAAUAAGUUCUACAAAAAUAUCAGAGGAGCCUUUUCAGUUAUAUUUCUGAUUUUCCUCAAAAACAACUGUGG
This 215-nucleotide long non-coding RNA is filed under the name Prunus persica (peach). RNAcentral describes it as "long non-coding RNA (PPER_LNC007363)". The record is from RNAcentral. Lineage: Eukaryota; Viridiplantae; Streptophyta; Magnoliopsida; Rosales; Rosaceae.